Non-coding RNA from Salvelinus sp. IW2-2015, 602 nucleotides. Lineage: Eukaryota; Metazoa; Chordata; Actinopteri; Salmoniformes; Salmonidae. The record is from RefSeq and is a predicted model, not a curated record.
AUUAUUCCACGGUUUGGUCAUUUUGUAACGCUGUAGUCUCAACUUCCGUUUACUGAUCGUGAAUCAGAUUUGGGAUAUCUGUUUACUGUCACCACUAUCGAUGAGAAAUCGUACAYMCUGAUUCAGAGUCUGUUUUCUGKCGGAAACCCCUCCACSCUKCACGUUCACCAUGCCAACAGCGUCCGGUCGGUGAGAACACAAACAAGAUGGCYACGAAGAUUUAACAGAGGAAAUAUUUUUAUUCGGUUAACAGGAGAGAGAUCUAACUGCCAUCCUGGAAGUCAUCCACCGCCCUGUCCCUCUGUCAUUUGACUGGACUGUUGUGAAUACUUUCUCUACCAUCAUGUCUACCGCUGCAGUAGCAGACAGAGGUUCCGUCCGUCCAGUCAGGGGCCCGGCGACGGCAUGGAGACAGACAAGCCCCCAGUCGCUAAGGAGAUCGGUGUCGUGGAUACGCCUCUGUCUUCGGUGCACUACUUAAGGUAUCUAGUCCCAAACACAGUCCCAAGACGGCGCACCCUGCCCUCGCCAGCCUCCAGCAGAGCCCAGAGCCAGUCCCAGAGACACCCCGUCUUGCCCCCGGUCCCCGGCGUGCUCCACCU